UACGUAGGCAGCGAGCGUUGUUCGGAGUUACUGGGCGUAAAGCGUGCGUAGGCGGUGGUCCAAGUCUGGUGUGAAAUCUCCCGGCUCAACUGGGAGGGUGCGCCGAAAACUGGAGGACUGGAGUACCGGAGAGGUAAGCGGAAUUCCUGGUGUAGCGGUGAAAUGCGUAGAGAUCAGGAGGAACACCUGUGGUGUAGACAGCUUACUGGACGGUGACUGACGCUGAGGCACGAAAGCGUGGGUAGCAAACAGG
This 253-nucleotide ribosomal RNA is filed under the name uncultured bacterium. RNAcentral's name for it is "partial 16S ribosomal RNA". It matches the Rfam family "Bacterial small subunit ribosomal RNA", at positions 524 to 776 of the family's 1533-position model. The record is from RNAcentral.